CCUACGGGUGGCAGCAGUGAGGAAUAUUGGUCAAUGGGCGCGAGCCUGAACCAGCCAAGUAGCGUGAAGGAUGACUGCCCUACGGGUUGUAAACUUCUUUUAUAAGGGAAUAAAGUGAGGCACGUGUGCCUUUUUGUAUGUAUUCUAUGAAUAAGGAUCGGCUAACUCCGUGCCAGCAGCCGCGGUAAUACGGAGGAUCCGAGCGUUAUCCGGAUUUAUUGGGUUUAAAGGGAGCGUAGAUGGGUUGUUAAGUCAGUUGUGAAAGUUGGGGGCUCAACCGCCAAAUUGCAUUUGAAACUGGAAGCCUUGAGUGCAGGAGAGGUAAGCGGAAUUCGUGGUGUAGCGGUGAAAUGCUUAGAUAUCACGAAGAACUCCGAUUGCGAAGGCAGCCUACUGGACUGCCACUGACGUUGAUGCUCGAAAGUGUGGGUAUCAAACAGGAUUAGAUACCCGAGUAGUC
This 460-nucleotide ribosomal RNA is filed under the name uncultured bacterium. RNAcentral describes it as "partial 16S ribosomal RNA". It matches the Rfam family "Bacterial small subunit ribosomal RNA", at positions 338 to 795 of the family's 1533-position model. The record is from RNAcentral.